GGAUGAAUGACUGAGUGGUUUAAAGUGCCAGUCUUGAAAACUGGAGUAUUUAAAAAUACCGUGGGUUCGAAUCCCACUUCAUCCU
Molecule: transfer RNA, 85 nt
Filed under: Telonemida sp.
Lineage: Eukaryota; Telonemia; Telonemida
Description: tRNA-Ser
Rfam family: tRNA
About the family: Transfer RNA (tRNA) molecules are approximately 80 nucleotides in length.
Source: RNAcentral